RNAcentral lists this ribosomal RNA (496 nucleotides) under uncultured bacterium. RNAcentral describes it as "partial 16S ribosomal RNA". It matches the Rfam family "Bacterial small subunit ribosomal RNA", at positions 28 to 506 of the family's 1533-position model. The record is from RNAcentral.
GAUGAACGCUGGCGGCGUGCCUAAUACAUGCAAGUCGAGCGAACAGACGAGGAGCUUGCUCCUCUGACGUUAGCGGCGGACGGGUGAGUCACACGUGGAUAACCUACCUAUAAGACUGGGAUAACUUCGGGAAACCGGAGCUAAUACCGGAUAAUAUAUUGAACCGCAUGGUUCAAUAGUUAAAUACGGUUUUGCUGUCACUUAUAGAUGGAUCCGCGCCGCAUUAGCUAGUUGGUAAGGUAACGGCUUACCAAGGCAACGAGGCGUAGCCGACCUGAGAGGGUGAUCGGCCACACUGGAGCGGAGACACGGUCCAGACCCCUACGGGAGGCAGCAGUAGGGAAUCUACCGCAGUGGGCGAAAGCCUAACGGAGCAACGCCGCGUGAGUGAUGAAGGGCUUCGGAUCGUAAAACUCUGUUAUUAGGGAAGAACAAAUGUGUAAGUAACUAUGCACGUCUUGACGGUACCGAAUCAGAAAGCCACGGCUAACUACUU